Callithrix jacchus (white-tufted-ear marmoset) is the source of this 2646-nucleotide non-coding RNA. The record is from RefSeq and is a predicted model, not a curated record. NCBI's taxonomy places the organism in Eukaryota, Metazoa, Chordata, Mammalia, Primates, Cebidae.
CAGGAAACGGUUUAGAACGCCGACACCUACAAUAAGCUGCUUUGGAAUGGACGAACUGCAAGGUAGCCAAGAAGUGCAAGUACACCAAGGAAAGGCAAUAACCGAAGCCAUUCUGAAACUGUGAGUCUCGCGAACCCGGUAAUACUUUCGGGGACUGGGAGCCGCUUCAGAUAUGCGGGGAGCUGCACCUUCACAAUGCGGGCCACGCUCUCCAGCACCAUCCUGGCCAGCAGUGUCCACUCGUCUCCGGAGCCCCCUCCGCUCUGGUCAAGCCGCAGGGCCUGCGCCGACAGCGGAAGCGCGAAGGAUUUCUUGGGCAAGAUUAUUAUUUGUUGUAAAGGACUGUGCUGUGAACUGCAGAUGUUUAGCAGCACCUCUGGACUCUAUCCACUAGAUGCCAGCAGCACCCCUGAGAGACAGAGUCUUACUCUGUUGCCCAGGCUGGAGUGUAAUGGCACAAUCUUGGCUCACUGCAACCUCUGCCUCCCAGGUUCAAGCGAUUCUCCUGCCUCAGCCUCCUGAGUAGCUGCAAUUACAGGUGCUUGCCACCACGCCCAACUAAGUUUUGUAUUUUUAGUAGAGAUGGGGUUUUACCAUGUUGGCCAGGCUGGUCUCGAAUUCCUGACCUCAAGUGAUCUGCCUGCCUCGGCCUCCCAAAAUGCUAGGAUUACAGGCAUGAGCCAUCAUGCCUGGCUGUGAAAGACUUUUUUCCUUUAUUUGUAAGGUCACUUUGAUUUUACAAGAGAAAAAUAAGAUUUAUAGGAAAGCAAUAAAGCAAUAAAAUCAGUAAUAACUUCUCUAAAGACAUUUAAUAACAACACAAAAUGAACUUUUUUUUUUUUUUUUGGUUUGAGACAAUUUCUUGCUAUGUUCCCCUGACUGAUCUCGAAUUCCUGGGCUUAAGCAAGCACUCUAUUCACGCCUCUUGAGUAGCUCAGAUUACAGAUUGCAGCACCACACCUGGCUUUGGUUUAGAAGAUUUUGAUAUGACUUGCUUAAAAGAAAUAAUUUUUUUUUUUUUGAUACGGAGUCCUUUGCUCUGUCACCCUGGCUAGAAAGCAGUGGUACAAUCAUAGCUCACUCCAUCCUCAAACUCCUGGGGUCCAGUGACCAUCCUGUCCCAGCCUCCUCAACAGUUGGGAUUAUAUGUGUGAGUCACUUAUCUCCAGCAAUCAACAAUUUUUAGAUAGUAUUAUAAGUAAAGUUCACUGCCCUAGAACGUUUGUGGAGGGAGCUAAGGGAAUCAAUAUUACCUGUAUUCAGAAUGGUUUUGGUAUAACCAGAAGCAGAGUAGUUCUCAAUGUGGUAACGGAGAUAAAAUAAUGUCCUUUAUAUGCACGGCUCAGGGGUAACCAACACUAAAUUUAGUUACCAAAGACUUUAUAAAGUAAAGACUGCCUACAUGCAUGUUUCUUCUAGGAACUGGGAAAAUUGCAGUAUUACUUAAUGUUAAGCAAGGAGUAGGUAUACAUUUGCUCUGCUUGUUUCAUGUGUUCUUGUACCAGGAUCUGUUGUUUUCUUCACAUCCUGCAACUACAUUUUUUUAAUCAUCUAUUUUUAAAAAAUAAUUUUAACUUUUAUUUUAGAUUCAAGGGAUACAUGUACAGGUUUAUUACAAGGAUAUGCUGUGAGGUCUAAGGUAAGAAUGAUCCUGUCACCCAGGUAGUAAGCAUAGUACCCAAGAGGUAGUUUUAGGUUUUUAAAAAUUUUUUUGAGAUGGAGUCUCACUCUGUCAUCCAGGCUAGAGCGUAGUGGCACAAUCUUGGCUUACUGCAGCCUCUGCCUCCCGGGUUCAAGUGACUCUCCUGCCUUAACCUCCCAAGUAGCUGGAUUACAGGUGUGCACCACCACGCCUGGCUAAUUUUUCUAUUUUUAGUAGAGAUGGCGUUUCGCCAUGUUGGCCAGGUUGGUCUCAAACUCCUGACUUCAAGAUAUCCACCUGCCUCGGCCUCCCAAAGUGCUGGGAUUACAGACAUGAGCUACCAUCCCUGGCCCCAAGAGGUAGUUUUCUAGCCCUUGACCCCCAACUCUUAGACUACAUUUUUAUUUAUUUAUUUUGAGAUGGAGUCUUGCUCUGUCACCCAGGCUGGAGUGCAGUUGCGUGAUCUCAGCUCACUGUAGCCUCCACCUCUUGGGUUCAAGCCGUUCUCUGUCUCAGCUGCCUGAGUGGCUGGGAUUACAAGCGCCCACCACCAGGCCCAGCUAAUUUUUGUAUUUUAGUAGAGAUGGGGUUUCAUUAUCUUGGCCAGGCUGCUCUUGAACUCCUGACCUCGUGAUCCACCCACCUCCUUUGUAAUUCCAAAGUGCUGGGAUUACAGGCAUGAGCCACCGCACCUGGCCAAGAUAUAUUUUUAUUGAAUGUCACCAGUAAGAACAAAAUCCACCAUAAAACAAUUGUUUUGUUUAUGAACACAGCCAAUCCCACAGAAACAGAUGUGUACUUUCCAUGCUAUGCAAAUGGGAUUUUAUUUAUAAAAAUAUCCCAUAAGAUAGUUCUAACAUAUCCUUAUUCUUCCUUUUAGCUUCAUGUUAUACAUCCAGAGCAUGUGCAUUAUGUAGACCAAAGAGUACAUAAUAGCACUUAAAAGUUAAAGUUAGCACUGUUAGCCUAAACAACAACUUAGGUAUAAAAAUACAGACCUCUGU